UACGGAGGGUGCAAACGUUGCUCGGAAUCAUUGGGCGUAAAGCGCACGUAGGCGGAGCAGUAAGUCGGAUGUGAAAGCCCUCGGCUCAACCGAGGAAGUGCAUUCGAAACUGCUGUGCUUGAGUACGGAAGAGGGUCUCGGAAUUCCCGGUGUAGAGGUGAAAUUCGUAGAUAUCGGGAGGAACACCAGUGGCGAAGGCGGAGACCUGGGCCGAUACUGAAGCUGAGGUGCGAAAGCGUUUGGCGCAAACAGG
RNAcentral lists this ribosomal RNA (253 nucleotides) under uncultured bacterium. RNAcentral describes it as "partial 16S ribosomal RNA". It matches the Rfam family "Bacterial small subunit ribosomal RNA", at positions 524 to 776 of the family's 1533-position model. The record is from RNAcentral.